UACGUAGGGUGCGAGCGUUAUCCGGAAUCAUUGGGCGUAAAGAGCUCGUAGGCGGUUCAACAAGUCGGCUGUGAAAGUCCGGGGCUCAACCCCGGAAUUGCAGUCGAUACUGUUGUGACUUGAGUCCGGUAGAGGAGAAUGGAAUUCCCGGUGUAGCGGUGGAAUGCGCAGAUAUCGGGAGGAACACCAGUGGCGAAGGCGGCCUCCUGGACCAUUCCUGACACUCAGACGCGAAAGCUAGGGUAGCAAACGGGAUUAGAUACCCCUGUAGUCCCU
This 276-nucleotide ribosomal RNA is filed under the name uncultured prokaryote. RNAcentral's name for it is "partial 16S ribosomal RNA". It matches the Rfam family "Bacterial small subunit ribosomal RNA", at positions 524 to 798 of the family's 1533-position model. The record is from RNAcentral.